GGGAAGGUGGCUCAGUGGUAGAGCACUUGCCUUGCAUGCAGGAGGCCCUGGGUUCGAUUCCUCAGCCCCA
This 70-nucleotide transfer RNA is filed under the name Dipodomys ordii (Ord's kangaroo rat). It matches the Rfam family "tRNA". Rfam says of the family: Transfer RNA (tRNA) molecules are approximately 80 nucleotides in length. Their secondary structure includes four short double-helical elements and three loops (D, anti-codon, and T loops). Lineage: Eukaryota; Metazoa; Chordata; Mammalia; Rodentia; Heteromyidae. The record is from Rfam by way of RNAcentral.